GAUGAACGCUGGCGGCGUGCCUAAUACAUGCAAGUCGAACGCUGAAGGAGGAGCUUGCUCUUCUGGAUGAGUUGCGAACGGGUGAGUAACACGUAGGUAACCUGCCUGGUAGCGGGGGAUAACUAUUGGAAACGAUAGCUAAUACCGCAUGACAACAGUUAUUGCAUGAUAACUGUUUAAAAGGGGCAACUGCUCCACUACCAAAUGGACCUGCGGUGUAUUAGCUAGUUGGUGAGGUAACGGCUCACUAAGGCGACGAUACACCGCCGGCCUGGGGGGGGGGUCCGCCAACCUGGGACUGGGACCCGGCCCAGGCUCCUACCGGAAGCAGCAGUAGGGAAUCCUCGGGAAUGGGCGGAAAUCUGACCGGAGAACGCCGCGUGAGUGGAGAAGGUUUUCGGGUCGGAAAGCUCUGUUUUAAGGGAAGAACGAGUGUGAGAGUGGAAAGUUCACACUGUGACGGUAUCUGACCAGAAAGGGACGGCUAACUACGUG
RNAcentral lists this ribosomal RNA (495 nucleotides) under uncultured bacterium. Its description in RNAcentral is "partial 16S ribosomal RNA". It matches the Rfam family "Bacterial small subunit ribosomal RNA", at positions 28 to 507 of the family's 1533-position model. The record is from RNAcentral.